UUUUAGAAAGAGAGAAAGGUUAGAGAAAAAGAUGAAAUCUUCAUGAAUUCGAGAGGAUCAAGAAUCGUUGGAAAGCAAAACCAUCUCGAAGACGUUCUUUGAAAGUUAGAUAACUUCUCUUUCCUAUCUUUAUUCUUUGAUUUCUUGGUUGUAUUGAUGUAUUAUAAUAAAUGUUGGUUCUGUCUAUGUAUAAGCCAUGUUAGGCCAAAUUUCUCAUAGCUAGUUUUAGGUAAAUGAAUUUUUAGGUUUAAAUUGGUAAACACUUUACUUCUUGAAUGUUAAUUUUCACAACUAAACUUUCUAGGAUCACCGUUCUCAAUACUUUUGAAUGCUUGAUCAACAUUUGAAUGAGAUUAUGAUUUAAAUCUUUGUUGAGAGAGUAUGCUUUAAAUUAUAUCAUGCAUGUUGGACUAUUGUUUGAACACAUGAAAGUAGUCGGAUAAUAUAUAGUAGUAUAGUAGGGACGGUUGAUGAAGAGUCUUAAUGCUUUGUUUAAUUAUCCAAUUUCAAGAGAUUAGUUAUUUGUGAUUAAGUGAAUAAAGAAAAGAUUGAUCUUAAGGACAACUCGAAUAAAAUAUUUCUAAAUCUAUGUGUUUGUGUUAGUUAAUUCAAGAAUCAUGCAUUUGUGUUCAAAUAAUACCUUUGCUGGAAUCUAUUUCCUAAACAAUCUCUUAGUUGAUAACUUCAAUAUAUUUGAUCAUUUUUGCUUUCCUAGAUUAGUUUAUUUUAAGUAUCAUCACAGGUCAGUUCCCUAAAUAAUAUUGGAACAAUCUAACAGCCAAAGAUUUUCAAUAUGAAUCCCUAAGGACCAUACUUGGUCUCUUGACCGUUUUAACUAUAUUACGUGUGCACUUGCACUUACAUCAAUUAUCAAUCUAUGUGUUAUUUUUGUGCGUUUAUAUUUCAUGUUCUUGAAAUUUGUUGUAACGCCGUAUGUAACAAGUUUCAUUGUGUGUUAGAUAACUUUUAUUUAUCCGAUGUCUCAAAUCUUUCGGGUAAUCCUAGCUAAUUUGUUUAGCUCAUUGAGUAUAUGGUCACUCUUGUGUUUUUUUUUGGUCAUUUAUUUAUGUUAGGGCUUUUGGGCUUUUAGUUUUAGUAAAAAGUGAGGAGUUGCCAACAUGAGCUUAGCUCAACUGGCACCUCUAUCUUCCUGUGGAUAAGAGAUCCCGGGUUCAAAUCCCCACCUCAAUUAGGGUUGUGAUGCAUGUUAGGUCCCGGGUUCAAAUCCCCACCUCAAUUAGGGUUGUGAUGCAUGUUAAUUACUGAAGUGUUUAAAUGCAAUUAGAGUAAAGUUUGAUCCUUAUUUUGCUAUGCAUGUCUACCGUUUCCAUGACUUAGGAAGUCACAUCCAGUGUCCCUUGUUUUCAAUCGUGGACUCUUGUUUUCUCAGAGUAUACUAUCAAGAGGCAUUCUAAUGCUUUGGUUCCAUUCUAUUAAUCAACAUUGACAAAAUGAGUGAGCCCUCCCCUUUCUAGAGUCUUUCCAAGAUAUCACCUAUUGGAUCGAAGGAUGAACAAUCUCUCCUGUGUUAGAAGCCCGAACUAGUGGUGACCCUCGAGAAACAUCUUGAUUGAUUGGGACCACGAAAAAUAAUUUUGUCCAUUUAAUUUCUCUUCUGGAAAAUUCCUUGUUGAUGUUCCCAAAUAACUAAUUAUAUAAUUCAAAGGCAAAUUAUGGAACGAAGUUACCGAAUUCUUGGAAUACAUCAAAAGUCAGUUGGUUUGGAGUGUUCAACCCCCAAUCUUAAUGGAUGUAGUUAAUCUUGUAACCAUAGAAGUAUGGCUACUACUGUAAAGGAUCAAAUGACAGAGGUACAUGAACUGAUAGACUUGGUGGUCGUCCGUAACCGAAGAUCAGAGGUAACGCGUGGGGUUGUGAGCACUUUACUCAAAAGAUUAAAAAAUAUAUAGUCUACAACCAAAUUUGUAAUUUCUUAUUAAUUGGAUCUUGUGUUAUGUGUAGUGCAUAAAUAACCAUAUCUACUUUACUCAUUAUUGUUAAGUUACCCACCUUUUAUACUUCUUAUAUAUACACACACAUAUAUACUUGAUACCUAAAAAUCAAAUGCAUAAUAAAAUUUAUUAGAGAUGUAAAUUUGGUGGCGAAAUUAUCAUAUGAAAUCAAUUUUCCUCCUUAUCUGGAUUUGAGUCCAUUAAACUCCAAUGUUUUCAUUACUAAAUCAAUUCAGA
Molecule: long non-coding RNA, 2189 nt
Filed under: Cucumis sativus (cucumber)
Lineage: Eukaryota; Viridiplantae; Streptophyta; Magnoliopsida; Cucurbitales; Cucurbitaceae
Description: long non-coding RNA (CSAT_LNC002771)
Source: RNAcentral